Molecule: transfer RNA, 64 nt
Filed under: Cavia porcellus (domestic guinea pig)
Lineage: Eukaryota; Metazoa; Chordata; Mammalia; Rodentia; Caviidae
Rfam family: tRNA
About the family: Transfer RNA (tRNA) molecules are approximately 80 nucleotides in length. Their secondary structure includes four short double-helical elements and three loops (D, anti-codon, and T loops).
Source: Rfam by way of RNAcentral
GAGGGUUUAGCUCAGUGGCAUAAGCGCAUGCCUGGCAAGCAUGACGUCGUGAGUUCAGUCCUCA